Molecule: ribosomal RNA, 457 nt
Filed under: uncultured bacterium
Lineage: Bacteria
Description: partial 16S ribosomal RNA
Rfam family: Bacterial small subunit ribosomal RNA
Source: RNAcentral
CCUACGGGGGGCAGCAGUGAGGAAUAUUGGUCAAUGGGCGCGAGCCUGAACCAGCCAAGUAGCGUGAAGGAAGAAGGUACAGCGUAUCGUAAACCUCUUGUCAGGGAACAAAGGCGGGGACUAGUCCCCGGAUGAGGGUACCUGAAGAAAAAGCAUCGGCGAACUCCGGGCCAGCAGCCGCGGUAAUACGGAGGAUGCGCGCGUUAUCCGGAUUGCUUGGGUGUAAAGUGUGCGCAGUCGGCCUGUUAAGUCAGCGGUAAAAGCCCGGGGCUCAACCCCGGCGAGCCGUUGAAACUGGCGGGCUGGAGUUGGAGAGAAGUACGCGGAAUGCGAGGUGUAGCGGUGAAAUGCUUAGAUAUCGCGCAGAACCCCGAUUGCGAAGGCAGCGUACCGGCUCCACACUGACGCUGAGGCACGAAAGCGUGGGUAUCGAACAGGAUUAGAUACCCCAGUAGUC